AGUGAACGCUGGCGGUAGGCCUAACACAUGCAAGUCGAACGGCAGCACAGAAGAGCUUGCUCUUACGGGUGGCGAGUGGCGGACGGGUGAGGAAUACAUCGGAAUCUACUUUUUCGCGGGGGAUAACGUAGGGAAACUUACGCUAAUACCGCAUACGACCUACGGGUGAAAGCAGGGGAUCUUCGGACCUUGCGCGAUUGAAUGAGCCGAUGUCGGAUUAGCUAGUUGGCGGGGUAAAGGCCCACCAAGGCGACGAUCCGUAGCUGGUCUGAGAGGAUGAUCAGCCACACUGGAACUGAGACACGGUCCAGACUCCUACGGGAGGCAGCAGUGGGGAAUAUUGGACAAUGGGCGCAAGCCUGAUCCAGCCAUACCGCGUGGGUGAAGAAGGCCUUCGGGUUGUAAAGCCCUUUUGUUGGGAAAGAAAAGCAGCAGGUUAAUACCCCGCUGUUCUGACGGUACCCAAAGAAUAAGCACCGGCUAACUUCGUG
RNAcentral lists this ribosomal RNA (491 nucleotides) under uncultured bacterium. RNAcentral describes it as "partial 16S ribosomal RNA". It matches the Rfam family "Bacterial small subunit ribosomal RNA", at positions 29 to 507 of the family's 1533-position model. The record is from RNAcentral.